GACGAACGCUGGCGGCGUGCCUAAUACAUGCAAGUCGAACGCUAAAGCGCUGAGCUUGCUCUUCUUGGGUGAGUUGCGAGCGGGUGAGUAACGCGUAGGUCACCUGCUUUGUUUCGGGGGAUAAUUAUGAAAAACGAUAUAUAAUACCACAUAACAAUGGAUUACACAUUUCGGUUAUUAGAGUGGGGCAGUUGGUGCACGACAAGGUGGACCUGCGUUGUGUUAGCUGGUAGGUGAGGUACUGGCUCACCUAGGCGACGAUACAUAGCCGGACUGAGCGGGUGGGUGGCCACACUGGGAGGGGGACACGGCCCAGAGUCCCACGGGAGGGAGCAGGAGGGCAUCUUGGGCAAUGGGGGGAAAACUGACCGAGCAACGCCGCGGGAGGGAAGAAGGUCUUCGGGUCGUAAAGGUCUGUUGUAAGUGAAGAACGGGCGUGAGAGUGGAAAGUUGAGAGUGUGACGGUAGCUGACAAGAAAGCACCGGCUAACUACGUG
Molecule: ribosomal RNA, 497 nt
Filed under: uncultured bacterium
Lineage: Bacteria
Description: partial 16S ribosomal RNA
Rfam family: Bacterial small subunit ribosomal RNA
Source: RNAcentral